Molecule: non-coding RNA, 30 nt
Filed under: Mus musculus (house mouse)
Lineage: Eukaryota; Metazoa; Chordata; Mammalia; Rodentia; Muridae
Source: RNAcentral
ACACAGUGUUAAGAGCAGAGAGCUUCAGUA